This 80-nucleotide transfer RNA is filed under the name Cordylochernes scorpioides. RNAcentral describes it as "tRNA-Glu". The record is from RNAcentral. Lineage: Eukaryota; Metazoa; Arthropoda; Arachnida; Pseudoscorpiones; Chernetidae.
ACUCGAUUACAUGGUGGAAGGCUGGUUAAACCGUUUGGUUUUCGACCACUAGGACCCGGGUUCGAUUCCCGCAUUGGACA